RNAcentral lists this ribosomal RNA (1263 nucleotides) under Escherichia coli. RNAcentral's name for it is "partial 23S ribosomal RNA". It matches the Rfam family "Bacterial large subunit ribosomal RNA", at positions 418 to 1682 of the family's 2925-position model. Lineage: Bacteria; Pseudomonadati; Pseudomonadota; Gammaproteobacteria; Enterobacterales; Enterobacteriaceae. The record is from RNAcentral.
CGGGACACGUGGUAUCCUGUCUGAAUAUGGGGGGACCAUCCUCCAAGGCUAAAUACUCCUGACUGACCGAUAGUGAACCAGUACCGUGAGGGAAAGGCGAAAAGAACCCCGGCGAGGGGAGUGAAAAAGAACCUGAAACCGUGUACGUACAAGCAGUGGGAGCACAGAGCAAUCUGUGUGACUGCGUACCUUUUGUAUAAUGGGUCAGCGACUUAUAUUCUGUAGCAAGGUUAACCGAAUAGGGGAGCCGAAGGGAAACCGAGUCUUAACUGGGCGUUAAGUUGCAGGGUAUAGACCCGAAACCCGGUGAUCUAGCCAUGGGCAGGUUGAAGGUUGGGUAACACUAACUGGAGGACCGAACCGACUAAUGUUGAAAAAUUAGCGGAUGACUUGUGGCUGGGGGUGAAAGGCCAAUCAAACCGGGAGAUAGCUGGUUCUCCCCGAAAGCUAUUUAGGUAGCGCCUCGUGAAUUCAUCUCCGGGGGUAGAGCACUGUUUCGGCAAGGGGGUCAUCCCGACUUACCAACCCGAUGCAAACUGCGAAUACCGGAGAAUGUUAUCACGGGAGACACACGGCGGGUGCUAACGUCCGUCGUGAAGAGGGAAACAACCCAGACCGCCAGCUAAGGUCCCAAAGUCAUGGUUAAGUGGGAAACGAUGUGGGAAGGCCCAGACAGCCAGGAUGUUGGCUUAGAAGCAGCCAUCAUUUAAAGAAAGCGUAAUAGCUCACUGGUCGAGUCGGCCUGCGCGGAAGAUGUAACGGGGCUAAACCAUGCACCGAAGCUGCGGCAGCGACACUAUGUGUUGUUGGGUAGGGGAGCGUUCUGUAAGCCUGUGAAGGUGUGCUGUGAGGCAUGCUGGAGGUAUCAGAAGUGCGAAUGCUGACAUAAGUAACGAUAAAGCGGGUGAAAAGCCCGCUCGCCGGAAGACCAAGGGUUCCUGUCCAACGUUAAUCGGGGCAGGGUGAGUCGACCCCUAAGGCGAGGCCGAAAGGCGUAGUCGAUGGGAAACAGGUUAAUAUUCCUGUACUUGGUGUUACUGCGAAGGGGGGACGGAGAAGGCUAUGUUGGCCGGGCGACGGUUGUCCCGGUUUAAGCGUGUAGGCUGGUUUUCCAGGCAAAUCCGGAAAAUCAAGGCUGAGGCGUGAUGACGAGGCACUACGGUGCUGAAGCAACAAAUGCCCUGCUUCCAGGAAAAGCCUCUAAGCAUCAGGUAACAUCAAAUCGUACCCCAAACCGACACAGGUGGUCAGGUAGAGAAUACC